Sinocyclocheilus rhinocerous is the source of this 792-nucleotide long non-coding RNA. RefSeq lists it as uncharacterized. The transcript has 5 exons. The record is from RefSeq and is a predicted model, not a curated record. Lineage: Eukaryota; Metazoa; Chordata; Actinopteri; Cypriniformes; Cyprinidae.
AAUGAGCAGAUGACCUGAAUCAGGUGUGUUUGAUUAAGGAGACAUGCAAAACGUGCAGUGUUGGGGUGCCUCCAGGACCAGGUUUUGGAACCACUGGUCUAGUAGAUGAAGUGUUUUCACAGUGAGAGAUUGCUGCUGUAGUUGGUCUGUGGUCUUACAUUGACAAUAUGGGGGAUGUAAGUGAACUUCGAGGGAAAAAAAGCAGCAGCAGACAGAACAUCUUGUCCAACUUUGAAAUGCUUGCUACCGGAGCUCUUCCCUGUGCUGUUCUUUGUUCAAGUGUAUGGUCAGUCAAAACCGUAGGUCCAAAACACCAAAUUUGGCAGAAUGGUCCCAAAUGGUCAUAUCUCCGCAACCAUUCAGAUGGUUCCUUCAGCAGUGGGCAGGACUAACUCACAAGCCGUAAUCCCAUUGGUUGAGAUGUGAUUAAUAACCGGACACCUGUCAGAGAUUGGCGUAACAAACAAGAAGUUGCACGAGCAUGUGAGAACAGAGAAAAGUCAUCUUUGAAUGCGGGUAUUUCUGGUUCAGAGCUGCUGGGGGUCAUGAGGAGGUCGCAGGGGAGCAACCGCUGAACCCUCAUUCAUCUUUGACCUUUUUCUGGAUGCAGUGAAGUGCACUGUUUUCUGUUGUAAUGCACCUUCUCUUGGACCCAUGUGGUUAUACCAGCUCGGACCCAUUCUGUGGGUAAAUGCUUUGAUGGGCCAUUUGUUUAAACAAAUGCCUUCCAUUAGAGAAUGAAUGCAGUUUGUGUAUAUAUAAGGUGUGUGCACAAUAAAAUGAUACAUGUGC